UUCCUGUACUUGGUGUUACUGCGAAGGGGGGACGGAGAAGGCUAUGUUGGCCGGGCGACGGUUGUCCCGGUUUAAGCGUGUAGGCUGGUUUUCCAGGCAAAUCCGGAAAACCAAGGCUGAGGCGUGAUGACGAGGCACUACGGUGCUGAAGUGACAAAUGCCCUGCUUCCAGGAAAAGCCUCUAAGCAUCAGGUAACAUCAAAUCGUACCCCAAACCGACACAGGUGGUCAGGUAGAGAAUACCAAGGCGCUUGAGAGAACUCGGGUGAAGGAACUAGGCAAAAUGGUGCCGUAACUUCGGGAGAAGGCACGCUGAUAUGUAGGUGAAGCGACUUGCUCGUGGAGCUGAAAUCAGUCGAAGAUACCAGCUGGCUGCAACUGUUUAUUAAAAACACAGCACUGUGCAAACACGAAAGUGGACGUAUACGGUGUGACGCCUGCCCGGUGCCGGAAGGUUAAUUGAUGGGGUUAGCGGUAACGCGAAGCUCUUGAUCGAAGCCCCGGUAAACGGCGGCCGUAACUAUAACGGUCCUAAGGUAGCGAAAUUCCUUGUCGGGUAAGUUCCGACCUGCACGAAUGGCGUAAUGAUGGCCAGGCUGUCUCCACCCGAGACUCAGUGAAAUUGAACUCGCUGUGAAGAUGCAGUGUACCCGCGGCAAGACGGAAAGACCCCGUGAACCUUUACUAUAGCUUGACACUGAACAUUGAGCCUUGAUGUGUAGGAUAGGUGGGAGGCUUUGAAGUGUGGACGCCAGUCUGCAUGGAGCCGACCUUGAAAUACCACCCUUUAAUGUUUGAUGUUCUAACGUUGGCCCGUAAUCCGGGUUGCGGACAGUGUCUGGUGGGUAGUUUGACUGGGGCGGUCUCCUCCUAAAGAGUAACGGAGGAGCACGAAGGUUGGCUAAUCCUGGUCGGACAUCAGGAGGUUAGUGCAAUGGCAUAAGCCAGCUUGACUGCGAGCGUGACGGCGCGAGCAGGUGCGAAAGCAGGUCAUAGUGAUCCGGUGGUUCUGAAUGGAAGGGCCAUCGCUCAACGGAUAAAAGGUACUCCGGGGAUAACAGGCUGAUACCGCCCAAGAGUUCAUAUCGACGGCGGUGUUUGGCACCUCGAUGUCGGCUCAUCACAUCCUGGGGCUGAAGUAGGUCCCAAGGGUAUGGCUGUUCGCCAUUUAAAGUGGUACGCGAGCUGGGUUUAGAACGUCGUGAGACAGUUCGGUCCCUAUCUGCCGUGGGCGCUGGAGAACUGAGGGGGGCUGCUCCUAGUACGAGAGGACCGGAGUGGACGCAUCACUGGUGUUCGGGUUGUCAUGCCAAUGGCACUGCCCGGUAGCUAAAUGCGGAAGAGAUAAGUGCUGAAAGCAUCUAAGCACGAAACUUGCCCCGAGAUGAGUUCUCCCUGACUCCUUGAGGGUCCUGAAGGAACGUUGAAGACGACGACGUUGAUAGGCCGGGUGUGUAAGCGCAGCGAUGCGUUGAGCUAACCGGUACUAAUGAACCGUGAGGCUUAACCUU
RNAcentral lists this ribosomal RNA (1511 nucleotides) under Escherichia coli KTE167. RNAcentral describes it as "bacterial LSU rRNA". It matches the Rfam family "Bacterial large subunit ribosomal RNA", at positions 1436 to 2925 of the family's 2925-position model. Lineage: Bacteria; Pseudomonadati; Pseudomonadota; Gammaproteobacteria; Enterobacterales; Enterobacteriaceae. The record is from RNAcentral.